GGGGGGGCAAGAAGAAAGGAGGGGGAGUGACCAGAGAUGCCCAAGAUUUCCAAGCAAUUCUUUCCAUGGGCUGCUUUCAUCAGAGAGUGAGAAGGCCUUCCACGGGCUGGAAGGGAAGCACUUCAGAUUGUGGGGGAAGACAGGUGCCUUUUCACAUUUCCCUCCCCCAUCGUCAAUGGAGUCAGCUGCAAUAAAUGGGAGAAACAGCCCCUUUUAAAAAUGGCAUUAAAACACUGUCUGGACUAAACCCAAACUAGUUUUGUAU
Long non-coding RNA from Mauremys reevesii (Reeves's turtle), 265 nucleotides. RefSeq lists it as uncharacterized. The transcript has 3 exons. NCBI's taxonomy places the organism in Eukaryota, Metazoa, Chordata, Testudines, Geoemydidae. The record is from RefSeq and is a predicted model, not a curated record.